UGGCAGGGCUGUGACUCAAAGGUCCCGCACGGCGGAUUGUGCUCACUCCCAUUUGGCAGAGAAUGACAGGGGAGGCGGAUUCAUGCAGCCAUUACUGCUGAGCUGAAAUGUGGAGUGCUGCUGGCUGUUCCCUGAGGAAUAGGAAAUGACCACAAUGACACCCACAAGAUCUUCUCCAGGUACCUGAGAAUCUCACUCAAGCCUCAUGAUCUACUUCUGCUACUCCAAUCAUUAAUUACUACUGAGCUUUUGCCAUCUCAGUUGUCCAUCCAAGCUGGUGUGUUGUCUUUGCUGAAAGAUGCUGUUAACCAACAACUAGGACCUCUACAACAGUCCACAAGGAGGAUUGGUGGAUAUGUCCUGUAUGGCAUAUGAGGUGCUGGCAAUUCUCUGGAGAAACAGGGAUUGAUUAUCAUUGUGAAAAUGAAAUUCAGCUGAAGUAACCAGGACAACAUGGAUGAUGUCUUGGGGAGUGCCCUGAAGCUGUUUCUGGGGACUUGGAUGCCAAUUUUGUUGCAGGAUCUCUCUGGUGUAGGACAAGCAUCUUAC
Molecule: long non-coding RNA, 549 nt
Organism: Serinus canaria (Common canary)
Lineage: Eukaryota; Metazoa; Chordata; Aves; Passeriformes; Fringillidae
Exons: 5
Source: RefSeq, a predicted model, not a curated record